CCACCUAAGGUUCAUAACCUAAAGCUUUGAUACCAACCUGUGACACCCCCAAAUCCGGGUACUUCAUUCCCACAGGAUUUGGUGCUCACUAUCUAAAAUAAUUACUUCUAACUACCCAUAAUCAAGGAUAAAGACAUAAAUUAAACAACUUAAAUAAUAAUCCUCCCCAUUAAAGGGUUACAUCAAACUUAAAAUAAAUCUUAGGUAAUCUAACCUUAAACUAUUACAUAAGUUUGCGGAAUACAUCACAAAAUAAAAUAAGUCUCAUAACAGAAUUUUAUUAAAUAAAAUCAAACGAGACUUCAUCCCUUGGACAUCUUGCCCUUGCCUUUGCUAGAAGACGGUUCGUCAACUUUCUUAACUUUAGCUGCAGUGUUAAAUGCAAAAGUGAGCAAACAAUUGCUCACUAAUAUAAUGAUGACAAUAACAAUAACAUAAGAGUAAGCAAUGAAUACUGAAUAAUUAAGAACUCGUUCUUUGAAUCAAGAUUAGUAAACAAGUUCGAGAUUUAUAUCUGAGGGUCUUAAGACCAUGAACUAUGUCCCAAGGUUAUUAAGUAUUUCUAUUUCAACCUUUAACAGUCGUUAGACUAUAUAGACCUUUUCUUUCGUACUUAGGGGGAUCAACCCUUCAUACCAUGUAUUGUGCACAAACAUCUAAACGCUAACGCGUACAUAUAAUCCCCUAUAUUAGGGUUGUUCAUCUCAGUUUGACUUUAGAAUUUUCGCACUAAAAAAAAUUAGCUUGGAAUAGCUUAACAGUGAUUUUAGAAUUUUAGAACACUUAUCGAUUAUGGAUUAGUCCAAUAAAUAAAGAUUUAUUAGCUAUUCGAAGGUUCAACAUGAUAAUAAAAGAUUGAACAAUGAUACUUAAGUCAAAGAUUGAAUAUCAACAAUAUAAAAUUGAAUAGACAUGGUAUAUACAAAGUAUUACAUCCAAAAGAGUUAGAAAACUCAUUUGGGACAAUGAACUUGAACAAUUUAUGCUUUGAAGAGCAAGAAAAAAAAGUUAAGAACUUGCUCAAUAAAAGAUUCAAGUUUUAGAAAUUUGCAUAACGAUAUCAAGUUAGGAAUAUGAAACUUGCUCAAGGUAAAAGAAUUAGAAUACAAGAGCUUGUAGAAUGAAAAAUUGAGGUCAGGGAACUUGCCUCGUGCGUAAGCUACUCAAGUAUAAUAAAUGUUCGCCAAAUACCCUACAUAUACCAUUAGGAUCACAAUACCAAUUAGUUAUAUUAACAUUAACUUCAUUGGUUUACUUCUCAUUUUAGUCAAGUCUAUAAUCUUUAACUUAAGAUCUGAUUAUCCUAAUCAUUCACGUACCAUAACUUGAACUCCCAAUUAUAUUAUAGUAUACGACAUGAUGAUUGAAAAACAACUCCAAUUCUCAUGACAUCACAUUAUGGUCUUUCACAACUUAUUAAUUCAUAACCUAUAGUUUCAACUUUGUGAUUACAAUAUGUUAUUAUGUCUUAUAACAUGUUUUAGGUUUCUCUACAAUCAUUAAAAUAAGUUAAGUUAACAUUUUCUCAGCUAUACUGUUAAUAGUUCAUUACUGGGUUUACUAGACCACUGGCGCGGCCGCGCCCUGUCUACCCUUGAAUCCAGCGUGCCCGCGCUCGACUCCAGAUUCAGUUUUCCAAAACACCAAUUCAGACUCUACUCUAAACCAAAAUUCCAAUUUCUUCACCCAACACCAAAUUAACCAAACCCAGAUGUUUAUAAGCUUUAUAAACUCAAAACCAUAUAUUUAUAAAGCAAUUCUAAAAUCACAAACCACUUUAACAACCAAUUUUAAGGACUCAAUUUUCAAGUUCAUACCAAUUUUCAUUGUUUUAUCAUACACAACGAAAUCAGUCACCACUACUUCGAUUUUCAACCAUUUUGAUUUGUUCAAAUUACAUUAUUUUUGUAUCACAUAGUUCUACCAUAAACAACCAUGAAUCUACAAUUUACAGCCUAAUUUUAUACUAAUUUUUAACUCUAAAACAACCAUAAUACACAUAUUACAACCAAAACUCAAAUUCCUCUUCUUCAACAUAUUUACACGAAUUUUGAUCACUUCAACAUCAUUUAUAAACUACAUAUAACAGAUUAUACACUAUCCAUAACAUUCAUAACAACUAUUUUAACCAAUCAUUAACCAAACUUUCCCUUUAUCCUAAGAAAACUCAAGAACACAAAACAUGAUUUUUCAUAAAUUUCAACCUCUGAAAAUUGUUUGUAAAUGAUAACCAAGGAUUACAAUAACUAAUUAACACAUAUCCUCCAAAUUCUCACAAAUUAGCCAUAGAAACUCUAGAAACAUACAACUGAAAAUAUGAAUUUAGAUUAUACAUUGAAUUCCUUGUUAACAAGAUGAUAGAAUAGCUUUGAAAAAACCUUCUUCCUCCCCUAACCCUUAUCAAUAUAUAGAGAAUACUCUCAAUUUCCUCUCUUGCUCUCUCUCAAUUACUCUCUAAACUUUAUUUUCUUCCUCUCUAUACUCUCUGUUCCUAGCCUUUAGGAAAAACACGUAACCCACUAACACUGAUAUAACAUCGUGCGCCAUCUAAAGUCACCAGGUAAAAGAAACCAAUAGGUUCAGCUGUUACAAAGACCAAGAGACACAAAACUAUGUUUGGCUAGUCUCAAAUAUCCCACUUUAGUUUAUUUUUAUAUUUCUUAUAUUAUAUAGUUCUUAUGUCACACCCAUAAUACAAGUAAUUUAAUUAAAUUUAUAAUUUAAAUUAACAUUUGCCUUAUAAUUAUAAUUUCCAUUAUAAAUUAUAAUUUUAUUCCAUAACUAAUAAAUCUCUAAUUUAAUUAUUAAAUUAAAUUAGAACAAAAUUAUAAUUAUUUAAUAAUUCAUUUAAUUUAAUUAUCUCAUUAAAUUAAAUCUUCAAAUCAUAAAAUUACCAUUCAUUAAUUUAAUUAUUAUAACAAAUUUUAACUAACUUAUUACACCAUAAUUUCAUCAAUUAUUUAUUUAUCUCAAUAAAUAAAUCAAUUAAAAUAUUUAUUUAAUUCAAUAAAUAUUUUUAAAUUACACAAAAAUUCUCAUUCGUUACAGCUGCUACUGCUGCUGCGACCGCUUCAUGCUGCUGUCAAUUUUUGUUUUUAUCUCUUCCUUUAUCCGUCUAAAUGGAUUAUAGUUUUGUUAUAUAGUCCACACACUUGCUUAUUUGAAAUUUGGACUUGAUGGGUAAGCUUUUAAAUUACACCACAAAGUCAAAAAUGGCUCAUCCAAAACUGCCAUAGCAGUUGUUUGCUAUAAUCUGCUGCUGCUCUAAAACAGUAGCCCUUUUGCCUCUUGCUUUAGGAAAUUUGUAUUCUUCCUAUGUCUUUUAUUUUCUAUAACCUCAUUAGUUGGUUAUAUAUGUUUUAUAUUCUUACUUUUGUAGAGAUAUUAACUCAAGUUUUUAUGGGCAUCUCAUCAUAUUACAAAACAACUUAUUAAGGUUGUUAACACUGCUCUAUAUGCUUACUACUGCUGCCGAGGCAGCAGCAGCCCUGCACCAAGCCCAACUUUCCCUUUUCUUUCCUUAGAAACUUUUGAUGCACUAAUUUGCUUAGGCCUAAUUUGUUUUUGGGGUAAUAAAGUUACCAUAUUAGUCUAUCUUAAAAACAUAUUAGCCUUGAACUUCAAGUUCAUUUUACUGUCCAAAACAGUUUGUCAAAAUGGCUUGACAUAAUAUGAUUCAACUUUUCCAUUUGGCCUAAUAUUGUAGUUUGUCUAAUCCUAAUAAUUUUAAACUUACUAAUUACCCUCACAUGUGUUGUCUCAACCAAACCCAAACUACAAUUCUUUCUAGAAUCCAUUUUCAAUCAAGACAGUCCACUUGGGACUUUUAAUAAACAUGUGGUGUGCACAGUUUUAAUUCCCUCUUUUCAUAGCCGUUUACUUGUGUUAUAAACCGAUUUUUAUCCUCCUUAUUACUCCUCAGCCCAGCCUAGCCUCUCUCCUUGUGCCUAAAUUCAGUUCAUAACAGUCAAAUAUACCAUCGAAUAUAUGUAUAUUAAAGUAAUUGACAACUACUUAGCUUAUAAAUUAGUUAGUUCACUAAUUAUCUUACCUUCAUCUUUCAACAUAAUCUCAGCCACUACAAUAGGAAUACUAUCAUAGUCAAUUUUGGGUAACAGUUUUAGGCAUAGCAAUUCAUUAAACCAUUAUAUGCAUAAGUAACUAAUCAUUACAACCUAGUUAGUUUACUUCUAUAACAAAUUCCAACCCCUUUGAAAACAAACAUAUUAAGCAAUAUCUCAGUUUCCUUCUUGAUGAUUAUUAUAGCUAUAAUUAGUUAUUAACAUUUCAGUUAACCUCUUUUAUCCCGACUUAGAUAUUCUAAGCAUGACCUUAGUAUAACAAGAUAUAAUCAUCCUAUGCUAAAGGCAAAACUGACCUUUAAGCACCUUUGCAUUCAUAGAAUUACAAUGUAAAAAAUAUGGGCAUAAGAUUAUACUUGACUGCACUCCUUUUUUAACACAGUUGACACCAACAGUCCAUUCACAAACAUUUUAUCAAGCAGUUGGGGUGCAGUCUCUAUUUUCCCAUGUUGAUCAUAAAUAUAGGCAUGCCUGCUACUCCUAGUGGUAUCAUAUAUUAUAGAUAACACCAUAUGCUGUUGGGUGUGGAUCCUCACCCAUGAGAUAGAAUCCAAGAUAGAAAAGAAUUAAUUUUCUUUGUGAACAAGUAAGUGCGUUUACUUGAUAUUAAUCCAAUUAGAAAUUGGGUUAGUGGAAGCAAUAUUGGAAUUGGAGAUUCCAUGAAAAAAAUCCAAGUUGAAAAAGGAUUUACUUGUUAGAUUGGUUGGUGACCAAGACAAGGAGAUGUGAACCCUAAUUUGAUUAGGAGAAUAAAUUGUUUCUAAUCCAUAAUAGGAAUGGAUUAGGAAGAGUACUAUAAAUAAGCCUAUGAGGGAGUCUUAUUUGAUAUAUAUGAGAGAAGCUUGGUAGCAAGAAGGUACCAAAAGAAUAAAUUGAGAGAAUUACAGUUUGUUGUUCGUGGAUAUCCGCCGCCAUCUCCGUUCAAUUGAAAGCUUGAAGACUUUAUUGUUUGAGGUAUUUUUGGGUGGUGAAGUUAAUUAGUUUCUCAACCUAAUUAAAGGUAAAUUUGUACUAUCUCAAUUUAUUGUGUAACCUCAAGUUUAGGAUUAUUGUAAGCCCAUUAUUAGUGAUAUAGUGGAGAUUCGGAGUUUGACCCGUGGUUUUUACCUCUUAGUUUUAGAGGGUUUUUCACGUAAAUUUGGUGUCUUUCUUGCGGAUGGUUAUUUGUUAUUUUUGUUCUCAUAAUUGGUUUUGUUGAUUUCAUAUUUAAUUGCACAAAGACGGAAAAGUAAUUCUUGGGAUAGAGAUUAUUUUUAGCAUACUUUUCCCAACAGUGCCACAACAAUACAACAACAACAUGAUAGCCAAAUUAAUCCUAUACAGUUAAGGGUGUAAACGAGUCGAACCGGAGCGAACAGAGAGCUACUCAAAUUCGACUCGAAAUGAUAAAUUCAUACUCGAAUUCAGCUCGAAUUCGAAUUAUAUUUGAAAAAUCCUACUCAGAUUCGACUCAACUCGAAUAUUUAUUACUCGAAUUCGAUCCGACUCGACUCGACUCGAAUAUUUAUUCAAACUACUCGCAAGCUUUAAAUUUAAGCUCGAAUUCGAGUCACCACAUAAUAACUAGUUUUAUAAUAAAUGUAAUUAUAAAUUGAAUUUGUUAUUUUACUUAAAAAUGAGAAAAUAUAUUUAUUAUUACAUUUUAUACAUAUAAAAUCACAAUUAAAAUUAAAAACAAUAAAUAAUAACUAAUUAUCCUAAUUUGAUUUAAAUUUGUAUAUAUUAUAAGAGAAUGUAUCGAACAUCUAAUCGAAUAUGUAUUAACCGAGUAUGUAUCGAAUCACAAUAAAAAAUUCGAGUAGUUUGAAUUUUAAACGAGUCGAGUAUAACUUUGCUCAGAUUCUACUCAUAUUUUUAUUCAAACUAUUUUUAAUGCUCAGAUUUGGAUCAUAUUAUUAACGAAUCCGAGUCUCGCUCGUAUUUUUUCGAGUCGAGCCCGAACUGUGUUGGCUCGUUAACAGCCUUAUAUACAGUUAACAUAUCAACUCAAAAGAAAAAUUUUAAUAUGACAGUCUUCAAUUCAAUUCUCAGCCAUCCGACCACUAACAGUCCAUCUUUGCUCAUUACCAAUGGAAUAGAAAAAGAAGGGAAGGAGUUAAAAUAGAAUUACCUUGCUAGCUUCUAAAGUUCAGGUAGUUUACUUUCCUCCCUCUCUAGCCGCAAAUUCUGCAACAAAGUAUAUACCACCCAAUUCCUUCUUGAAUGGCUGGGUGGAGUGAGGGUGAGGGGCUACUUUUAAUGGCAGGGCUAUCACCUCCUACUGGCAGUCCUAUUAGCCUCUAGUUGGCCUCUACUCAGCCACCCUACCAAGCUGUAAGCAAUCACUCCUAGUCUAGUUCACUUGGCCCCUAUGGGACCUGUCAGACCAUAGCUACUCUGUUACAUCUUAUCCUCUGCAAAUCUAUCCCACGUGCUUGCUGACUGCUAACUGAACUAACUUACUAACUAGGAACUAACUUAGAAUUCGUAUAACUUGCUAAUUGACUGAGUGCUCAAGCCAUCUCACUGCUUUCUUAAUUGGUUUAAAACAGUUCUCUUGCAUUACAUCAUUUGGUUUACAGGAUUGGGGCAAGGGGAAAAAGUGUGACAAUUUUUAAUUUGGGUUUAAACCAACCCUCCCUCUUUAACAAUGUAGCUGCCAAAUUGGG
Molecule: long non-coding RNA, 6730 nt
Filed under: Panax ginseng (ginseng)
Lineage: Eukaryota; Viridiplantae; Streptophyta; Magnoliopsida; Apiales; Araliaceae
Description: long non-coding RNA (PGIN_LNC010628)
Source: RNAcentral